Molecule: ribosomal RNA, 440 nt
Filed under: uncultured bacterium
Lineage: Bacteria
Description: partial 16S ribosomal RNA
Rfam family: Bacterial small subunit ribosomal RNA
Source: RNAcentral
CCUACGGGUGGCAGCAGUGGGGAAUAUUGCACAAUGGGGGAAACCCUGAUGCAGCGACGCCGCGUGAAGGAAGAAGUCUUUCGGUAUGUAAACUUCUAUCAGCAGGGAAGAAAAUGACGGUACCUGACUAAGAAGCCCCGGCUAACUACGUGCCAGCAGCCGCGGGAAUACGUAGGGGGCAAGCGUUAUCCGGAUUUACUGGGUGUAAAGGGGGCGUAGACGGCGAUGCAAGUCUGAAGUGAAAGGCGGGGGCCCAACCCCUGGACUGCUUUGGAAACUGUAUGGCUGGAGUGCAGGAGAGGUAAGUGGAAUGCCUAGUGUAGCGGUGAAAUGCGUAGAUAUUAGGAGGAACACCAGUGGCGAAGGCGGCUUACUGGACUGUAACUGACGUUGAGGCUCGAAAGCGUGGGGAGCAAACAGGAUUAGAUACCCGUGUAGUC